GGUUGUCAUGCCAAUGGCACUGCCCGGUAGCUAAAUGCGGAAGAGAUAAGUGCUGAAAGCAUCUAAGCACGAAACUUGCCCCGAGAUGAGUUCUCCCUGAGACUUUAGGUCUCCUGAAGGAACGUUGAAGACGACGACGUUGAUAGGCCGGGUGUGUAAGCGCAGCGAUGCGUUGAGCUAACCGGUACUAAUGAACCGUGAGGCUUAACCUU
RNAcentral lists this ribosomal RNA (212 nucleotides) under Salmonella enterica. Its description in RNAcentral is "partial 23S ribosomal RNA". It matches the Rfam family "Bacterial large subunit ribosomal RNA", at positions 2719 to 2925 of the family's 2925-position model. Lineage: Bacteria; Pseudomonadati; Pseudomonadota; Gammaproteobacteria; Enterobacterales; Enterobacteriaceae. The record is from RNAcentral.